GGUUGAAAAAGAAGAGGAGGGAACUGAAACAGUGAAAUGAUGUCUCCAUUUAAUCUGGAUCCCCAUAUGUGUAUUUGUCCUGUGUAUGCUAUCAUAUAAUGGAACCCUAAUAUGCAUUUCCACCCUUAUUUGGACUUCACACUUCCAUAUUCUUUUUUGCUUUUUACUAUGCAAGACUUUGACUCCACCCAAGAAACAAAAGAUUUUACAUCGCUACGGGAUUCCAUAUGUCUGUCUCAAUUGAAUUACAAAAGCUACACACAA
This 264-nucleotide long non-coding RNA is filed under the name Elaeis guineensis (African oil palm). RNAcentral describes it as "long non-coding RNA (EGUI_LNC081106)". The record is from RNAcentral. Lineage: Eukaryota; Viridiplantae; Streptophyta; Magnoliopsida; Arecales; Arecaceae.